GAUCCAAACCCAUGAACCCCAGGUGGUCAAAGCAGAGCACACGAACUUAACCACUAUGCCAUGGGGCCAACCUCUAAAACAGUACUUUUUUCUGGUUGGUAGAAUUGGAAAUGAAUUUUACUUUUUCUCUGUAUCUUUCUAUGUUGCUUCAAAAUUUUAAAAAUACGUGCAUUAUUUAUGAAAUUUUUGAGUAAAUAAAACUAUUAUUUUGGGGAAAAAAACAGCAAGUGUUUUUAUCUCUUAGAGUAAAAAAUGGGGGGGACUUGAUGAUCAGUUGUAUGUGGGGAGUGAGAGAGAAGGGUUGGACAAGCCUGACUUCCAGCUCUCUCUUCCCUGUGAUUCUCUGGCACCCGAUGAAAGGCAACCCUCCUCCCAGUUGCUUACCCUUUUCCCCUGUUGUCGUUCAUUCUGCUUUGUAACUUCUCAUCUCAGACUCUGCUCCUCCUGACUGCAUGAUGGCUCCAUUGUUAACCCCUCUGCUUCCUCUGCCUUGUUUCAGAAUACUCUUUCCAUCUCCUUUCCUUAACUGAGUGGCAGGAAAUUAGAGAUGAGAGAUGUCAUUGGAAAUGACCAGCCCAAUUAUUCUCAGGUUGGCACAGGCUGUUUUGAUGCCAGCACUUGUUGAGGGUCCCAGUUUGGUGUCAGAGGAGAUGGACGGAAUACCUACCAAGUUUAUGAGGGGCCCAGAACUGGGUGGCUCUGUCUCAUGGUGUUCAAUGUAAUGAUGAGACCCAGAGAUAGGAUAAGGGUUCCCAGUGGGUUGCAAAGUUCAGUGAGGGACAGAGAAGCACCUGGACUGACUGUUCAGAGCAGGAGCCAGAGGUUAGGUAGUGGAAGCAAUGGCCAGUCCUGGUCAACAAUUUAAGGGGAACUGCCAACUCAUUCUUUUACUGUAUGGCAGUUUUGCCUUGUAAACAGUUUUUUAAAGAAGCCAAGUUUUUCAGAUGCAAGUCUAAAUGCUGUCUGUGUAAAUGUACACAUUAAAAUAAGCGCUCUUCACCUGUCAAGAAACAUCAAAGAUUGAAGUCAGGGAUGUGUCGGCUUCUUGAAUCUUAUUCUCUAAGGCCACCGCUCCCCAGACACUGUCUGCCUUUCUUGUCGUCAUUCAGAUCUUUGCCAUUUGAGGCCGACUCAUCGCAGCCUUCAAGGGCCAGGGCAUUUCUUAGUAUGCACUGAACUCACGCCAAACUAUUGUUUCACACUAUUAUUGUCUAAAAGACAGUGUGUACUAGAAAUGUGAAACAGGAAAUGUCCAUCUGACCUUAUUACGAUAGAAGAAAAUUUUCCAGAGUCCAUAUGCUGAUGUAAUUAUUUUAAGAACUUUUUUUUUUUUAAGUGUUUAGCAGUCAGAUCUUUGGAACAAUUUUCUUUGCUGUCAUGAGCAUAGCACGUAGCAUAUUAUCAUCUUUUAGAGGGGUAGAGCCCUGUAAUUGGCACAGUAGACUUUUAUAUUAUUUUCAAAUUAAGUUUUAAGGAAUUCUCUUUAUUUGCUAAGUUUGUAUGUGUGUGAAGCAUAUAUAUUUGAAUGUCUGAAUUUCUUUGGAAGAUCCUUGAUUUAUUUCACACAGAAAUUUUGUGCUCCGUUCUCAAAUCUAUGACGUAUGCCCUAUGUUCCAGUACUUUGCUUUGUACAAUUUCCUGUAAACAGCUGUAGGCAACUUCAAUAUACGCUGGCUGGUUGGUUCAGUGUUCUUGCAGUACUUACAAUGGACAUUUCUGAGCAUAACUAAUCUCUUUUUUUUUUUAUUUUGGUCCUAUUCGCAUCAGCACCAAUCCAGUGCUUUGAAAUGAAUUCAAAUACUGUGCUCUCUGAAGGGAUGAGGAUUAAAGCUUAAGCUGGGUCCAGGGAUGAGGUGAGAGGAAAAAACCCUCACAAAUCCGAUGCUUUUUUUCCUCCUAAGAAGUGAAAAGCAAUGAGCUGUACUAUAUAAAAGAAAGGAAACGGUAAUUAUGAACUUUUUCCCUACUACUGUCCACUGUCUUUGGUUUAGAGCAAAGCAGAAGCCAAGCAGCUAUUUAGCUCUCUAGCAUAUUUCCGUGUGAGAUUUGAUUUAUAUGAGCAUCAAGAAGUAGAGAUCUUAAUUCAGGUAUGACCGUGUCUUUUUUUCUCUUUCAUUUAUUGUAAGUAGUUUCAUGUUUUUGUUUUAUAUUUGUUUGAGUCCAUGAUCUUUUUUCAUCCUAUGUCCUAUGGAUCUGACCAACUCCAUUUCAUUCCAUGUUUCAGUUCCUCUUUUUCUCCAAAUAGCUCUACAGGAUCCUAGAAAUUCUUUUCUCCAGUUAAAACGUUAUCACCAGAAGCAUUAUUUCUAAUGUCAAUAUGAGCUUCUUUCUUGUAGCACGCUCUGUGCAGGGUGAAUUCUUAAGUGUAGCUGUAGAGAAUGAAUGAUUGGUAUUCAGCCAUGUUUGCCUAUGUCUUUCCACAACCAAAAACAAUUAGGUGAAAAGGGAAAAAUUCAAUUAGUUAUUCUUUUGUCUGCCUGAUCCCAAACAACUUCUAUGAAUAUUUGGGAAAUACUCUUAAGUUGAACUCACUGUGUGUAUAUGUUUUAUGUACAUUGAUGGUUCAGUUUUCAUUAUGUAGCUAUGUAGUAAAAAGUUUUCAGUGACAAACAAUUUCAUUUUCUAAAACAAUAGCUAUUUCAGAAACAAAUGAGGUCAAUGGGCAUCUUGUUUUAGGGGGGCUACUGGAGACAUUGGAGUAAGAGGAAGUCCCGUGUCAGAGGGCUCUGUGCACAUUUCCCUGAAAUACCUCAGCUAAGUGUAAAUGUAAUCUGUUAUUUUAACCAAUCAUAGCAGUUGCAUUUUGCCCUUUCUUACAUUAAAUUAUAAAAUCAAUAACUUACAAAUACGGCAAAUCUUUAUUUUUCAAAGAUUCCUCUUCCUCCUCCUCCUUUCCAAAGGUUGCGUUUCAUCCUUUCCAAAGACCUCAAAAGCUACUAGAUUAUCAUUAAAAAAUAAACACAUUUUCAAAGGCCAUUAGCCCGAGGGGAGGUCCUGAGUCGUCCAAAGGUUCUCCAGCGGGCAAACAAGAAAGACAGCACUCCUGCCCCGAUCCGUACACACUGGAGCAUCCAGGGCUGAAUUUCUUUCCAAUGGAAGUUGUUAUUUGAAUCUAGAAGUGUUGCUAAAAUGGAUUCAUCAAGCCAUUUUUUAGUGGAAAGGGCUUCAUGGAUGACGACCUGCUGGAAGUUGGCCGACAGCUGAAAGGAAGAACGACCCUGUUCAGUCCUGCUCAUUAUGCCUGCCAGAGAUCAAGAACACCUUGACCAAUCAGGAGAGGGGAUCUUCAUACAAGGAAAGGGGACUUUUGUACAAGGAGAGGGGACCUUUAUUCACCUUCCUGUACUCUUUCUUCCAAGCUAGUUUUUAACUUCAGGAAAGUAUCACUCUUCUGUGGCUGCUUAAUAUUUAAUUGGCUAUGUAAUGUGGCUAUGUAAUAUUUAAAUGUAGCCAAGUGUUUAGGGAUGAAGGUCUCUGACUCUGCCCCUCACCACACUUGGGACCUUAGGAAAGUUAUUUAACUUCUUUAACCAUCAUUUGUAAACUAUGUUUGUUGGAAAGAAUAAUUCUGUUUUUAAUGUAUAAAGUACAUAGUAUGGGACCUAUAAUAUAAGAGGUGUUCAAUAAAAAGUUAUUGUUAUCGUUACUAAGAUUUUUUUAUACUUAACCACAUAGAAAUGUCAUGUUGUCUGAUUUGUUCACUGCUGUAUCCCCUGGGCCAGUGCCUGAUGUUUAGUAGAUACUACUAAAUAAAUGCUAAAUUGCUACUCAAUAAAUAUUUGUCUGAAUGAA
Equus caballus (horse) is the source of this 3792-nucleotide long non-coding RNA. RefSeq lists it as uncharacterized. The record is from RefSeq and is a predicted model, not a curated record. NCBI's taxonomy places the organism in Eukaryota, Metazoa, Chordata, Mammalia, Perissodactyla, Equidae.